This 498-nucleotide ribosomal RNA is filed under the name uncultured bacterium. RNAcentral describes it as "partial 16S ribosomal RNA". It matches the Rfam family "Bacterial small subunit ribosomal RNA", at positions 29 to 523 of the family's 1533-position model. The record is from RNAcentral.
AUUGAACGCUGGCGGCAUGCCUUACACAUGCAAGUCGAACGGUAACGCGGGGCAACCUGGCGACGAGUGGCGAACGGGUGAGUAAUGCAUCGGAACGUGCCCAGUAGUGGGGGAUAGCCCGGCGAAAGCCGGAUUAAUACCGCAUACGACCUACGGGUGAAAGGGGGGGAUCGCAAGACCUCUCGCUAUUGGAGCGGCCGAUGUCAGAUUAGGUAGUUGGUGGGGUAAAGGCCUACCAAGCCUACGAUCUGUAGCUGGUCUGAGAGGACGACAAGGCAAACUGGGACGGAGAACCGGCCCAGACGCGUACGGGAGGCAGCAGUGGGGAAUUGUGGACAAUGGGCGCAAGCCUGAUCCAGCCAGGCCGCGUGCGGGAAGAAGGCCUUCGGGUUGUAAACCGCUUUUGUCGGGGAAGAAAUCUUCUGGGCUAAUACCUCGGGAGGAUGACGGUACCCGAAGAAUAAGCACCGGCUAACUACGUGCCAGCCGCCGCCGUAA